Molecule: ribosomal RNA, 831 nt
Filed under: uncultured euryarchaeote
Lineage: Archaea; Methanobacteriati; Methanobacteriota
Description: bacterial SSU rRNA
Rfam family: Archaeal small subunit ribosomal RNA
Source: RNAcentral
GGGACUCGGCGUACCGCUCAGUAACACGUGGGUAACCUGCCCUAUGCUGGGGAAUAACCUCGGGAAACUGAGAAUAAUACCCCAUAGUCCACCAUGCCUGGAACGGUUGGUGGAUCAAAGCUCCGGCGGCAUAGGAUGGGCCUGCGGCGUAUCAGGUUGUAGGGGGUGUAACGUACCCUCUAGCCAUCAACGCGUACGGGUGUUGGGAGACAUAGCCCGGAGAUGGAUUCUGAGACACGAAUCCAGACCCUACGGGGUGCAGCAGGCGCGAAAACUUGGCAAUGCGAGAAAUCGUGACCAGGGAACUCCAAGUGGCUGGGGUAAGACCCAGUCUUUUCAUGACUCUUCAAAGGUCUUGGAAUAAGAGGUGGGUAAGGACGGUGCCAGCCGCCGCGGUAAUACCGGCGCCUCAAGUGGUAGUCGAUUUUAUUGGGCCUAAAACGUCCGUAGCCUGUUUGGUACAUUCGUGGGUAAAUCAACCAGCUUAACUGAUUGAAUUCUGCGAGCACGGCCAGACUUGGGACCGGGAGAGGUGUGGGGUACGCUCAGGGUAGGGGUAAAAUCCUGUCAUCCUGAGCGGACCACCUGUUGCGAAGGCGCCACACUAGAACGGAUCCGACGGUCAGGGACGAAGCCUAGGGGCACGAACCGGAUUAGAUACCCGGGUAGUCCUAGGUGUAAACGCUGUGGACUUGGUGUUGGGGAUUCUCCGAGGAUUCUCAGUGCCGAAGCGAAGGUGAUAAGUCCACUGCCUGGGGAGUACGGUCGCAAGGCUGAAACUUAAAGGAAUUGGCGGGGGUGCACCGCAACCUGAGGAUUGUGCGGUUUAAU